CACUACCAUCUUGCUAUUAGUUUAACUUCAUUAGCUGUACAUAGUCUAGUUAUUUUAAUAAUUCUUUCUUUCAUAGCUGUUGAUUUCCUUUAAAUAUUUCAUUUGUAGCAGUAAACAUAUUAAGGAUAUUCAAGCUAUAACAUUACUUUGCCGUUAUUGAAAUAUGAAUCAACUUGAACAGAUGCAACUUGAAAUUUUUGUAGCAUAUUUGUAUGUGCAUGUGACACAUAUUUUCCCCUAAAGUCAUCUUGCAUUUUUAUGCCAAAGGUUUGUGAUGUAAAUUAGUCAUCUACAAAAAUGUAAUAAGUUAGAAAAUGCUUACUUUUUCAUAUUUCAGUAUGCUCUGAGAUGGAGAAGAACAUAAACUAAUAUUGAAUUACUGAAGGACCGUUAAUGUCUUCUACUGUCAUUGUCGCAAUUUUUUAUUUGUUCUUUACUUAUGUAUAUUUCCAGUAUAAUUUCAGUAACUGUUAAUGUGUAAGAGAAUAUCUGAAAAGUAAAAUUAAUGUGGUUGAAAGAAAAAUAUUAAAUUCUUGGACAGAAGCAGAAAUUAAUUUAAGAAGUUGUACCUGCCUAUAAACUAACUUGGUAAUAGAUGCAAAUAGUGAAUGCAUAUAGAGUUAAUUAUGUUAUGCAGACUGAAGUAAUCAGCCUAGUCAUGCUUCUGACCAUGAAAAUAGCCAUUAUGAUGGAAGAAGGGGGUCCACUUCCCAGCACAGACAGGAACUUUAUUUUCACUGCCAUGAUGAGAUUAGCUAUGUUAAGCUGAUAAUUCAUCGUAAUCUUGAACUAAGGUUAAGAGUGCAUUGAGUUUAACCUCCACUUUCUUAUGCAUUUUAUGGCAUUGUGCUUUGGCACAAGAGACAUUUUACAUUUA
This is a non-coding RNA of Zootermopsis nevadensis, 877 nucleotides long. The record is from RefSeq and is a predicted model, not a curated record. Lineage: Eukaryota; Metazoa; Arthropoda; Insecta; Blattodea; Termopsidae.